Molecule: long non-coding RNA, 504 nt
Filed under: Pogona vitticeps (central bearded dragon)
Lineage: Eukaryota; Metazoa; Chordata; Lepidosauria; Squamata; Agamidae
Description: lncRNA (ENSPVIG00000001309.1)
Source: RNAcentral
GUCUCUAUUGUGUUCAUACCUUCCUCUUGUACAUGAACAGUGCCAUUUUUGGCUUCAGCAGGAUCACAACUUGAAGAAUGCUAUCCACUGACACGGGUGUGGUAUGAUAUGAACACAUCAAAUGGGAUAUUGACAUGGGAUCAUUUUUUUCUUACAGGGUGAUCGCGGUGAACCUGGUCCUGCUGGCCUUCCUGGUUCUCCAGGUUCUCCAGGCACUCCAGGGCCAGUUGGACCUACAGGAGAUGCAGGACAAAGAGGUGAACCCGGCUCACGGGGACCAGUGGGUCCUCCUGGUCGCGCUGGAAAACGUGGAUUGCCUGGUCCGCAAGGCCCUCGUGGUGACAAAGGUGAUAACGGAGAUCGAGGUGACAGAGGUCAGAAGGGUCACCGAGGUUUCACUGGCCUUCAAGGUCUUCCUGGACCUCCUGUAAGUCAUUACCUGCAUUUUCAUUGUUACACUUGUUCAGAUCCAAGGCUUUGUGUGUCUGUCCUUCUGUAUUUAUU